UACGUAGGGGGCAAGCGUUAUCCGGAUUUACUGGGUGUAAAGGGAGCGUAGACGGCAUAGCAAGUCUGAAGUGAAAGCCCGUGGCUCAACCGCGGAAUUGCUUUGGAAACUGUUAAGCUGGAGUACUGGAGAGGCAAGCGGAAUUCCUAGUGUAGCGGUGAAAUGCGUAGAUAUUAGGAGGAACACCAGUGGCGAAGGCGGCUUGCUGGACAGAGACUGACGUUGAGGCUCGAAAGCGUGGGGAGCAAACAGG
This 253-nucleotide ribosomal RNA is filed under the name uncultured bacterium. RNAcentral describes it as "partial 16S ribosomal RNA". It matches the Rfam family "Bacterial small subunit ribosomal RNA", at positions 524 to 776 of the family's 1533-position model. The record is from RNAcentral.